GGCAUUCACAUGCCGAGUUUACCAUUUGAAGACCAACAUUAUGACACUUGCAGAGUUACAUUGGUAGAGGCUUUCCAAGAAGCAGCUAAAUAGAGAAAAAUUGCCACUAACAAGGAGAAAGGGCUUUCAACUGAUACCAAACUCAACCGAUUUCCGGUGAAACUGUACUAUCAAGAUAUCCACCAAUCGGAGGACCUGGAGCUGGAGGCAGCAAGGGGGAAGUGAGUCCUUGCUGUCAUGCCACAGAGGAUAAAAGACCAAAGCCCUCCAGACAUUCAGAGAAUGUGGUCUUCUCUCCUCUUCUGAGGCAUGUGGUUUAGGAAAAGAUACAGGAGUGACACAAUAAAAAGGAGCUGAGAACACCAAAAAUUCUGAUGCAAACCAUGUGGUGGUAAGAAGGAACUGGAAAGGCUUUGGCCCACAUCGCCCUUUAUGACCUUGGUUGGGAGCAUAAGGAGAGCUACUGCACGUGUGCAAGCCAAUGGACAAUGCCUACAAGAAAUUCCGGACACAGGCGCAUGAUGCACAUGCAUAUCCCACAUAUGGCUACACAUA
Molecule: long non-coding RNA, 555 nt
Organism: Mauremys mutica (yellowpond turtle)
Lineage: Eukaryota; Metazoa; Chordata; Testudines; Geoemydidae
Exons: 4
Source: RefSeq, a predicted model, not a curated record